GUGGGGAAUAUUGGACAAUGGGCGAAAGCCUGAUCCAGCCAUGCCGCGUGUGUGAAGAAGGUCUUCGGAUUGUAAAGCACUUUAAGUUGGGAGGAAGGGCAUUAACCUAAUACGUUAGUGUUUUGACGUUACCGACAGAAUAAGCACCGGCUAACUUCGUGCCAGCAGCCGCGGUAAUACGAAGGGUGCAAGCGUUAAUCGGAAUUACUGGGCGUAAAGCGCGCGUAGGUGGUUUUGUAAGUUGGAGGUGAAAUCCCCGGGCUCAACCUGGGAACUGCCUCCAAAACUGCAUGACUAGAGUACGGUAGAGGGUAGUGGAAUUUCCUGUGUAGCGGUGAAAUGCGUAGAUAUAGGAAGGAACACCAGUGGCGAAGGCGACUACCUGGACUGAUACUGACACUGAGGUGCGAAAGCGUGGGGAGCAAACAGGAUUAGAAACCCUGGUAGUCC
RNAcentral lists this ribosomal RNA (450 nucleotides) under uncultured bacterium. RNAcentral describes it as "partial 16S ribosomal RNA". It matches the Rfam family "Bacterial small subunit ribosomal RNA", at positions 354 to 796 of the family's 1533-position model. The record is from RNAcentral.